This 617-nucleotide ribosomal RNA is filed under the name Tricholoma matsutake. RNAcentral describes it as "eukaryotic LSU rRNA". It matches the Rfam family "Eukaryotic large subunit ribosomal RNA", at positions 48 to 657 of the family's 3401-position model. Lineage: Eukaryota; Fungi; Basidiomycota; Agaricomycetes; Agaricales; Tricholomataceae. The record is from RNAcentral.
GUACGGAGGAAAAGAAACUAACAAGGAUUCCCCUAGUAGCGGCGAGUGAAGCGGGAAGAGCUCAAAUUUGUAAUCUGGCGUCUUUCAGGCGUCCGAGUUGUAAUCUAUAGAAGUGUUUUCCGUGCUGGACCAUGUCCAAGUCCCUUGGAACAGGGUAUCAAAGAGGGUGACAAUCCCGUACUUGAUAUGGCUACCAGUGCUCUGUGAUACACUUUCUACGAGUCGAGUUGUUUGGGAAUGCAGCUCAAAAUGGGUGGUAAAUUCCAUCUAAAGCUAAAUAUUGGCGAGAGACCGAUAGCGAACAAGUACCGUGAGGGAAAGAUGAAAAGCACUUUGGAAAGAGAGUUAAACAGUACGUGAAAUUGUUGAAAGGGAAACGAUUGAAGUCAGUCGUGUUCAUUGGACUCAGCCGGUUUUCGGUGUACUUCCUUUGAACGGGUCAACAUCAGUUUUGUCCGGUGGAUAAAGGCAGGAAGAAAGUGGCUUGCUUGCAAGUGUUAUAGCUUUCUGUCACAUACACUGGGGGAGACUGAGGACUGCAGCUCGCCUUUUGGCCGGGGUUCGCCCACGUUCGAGCUUAGGAUGUUGACAUAAUGGCUUUAAACGACCCGUCUUAA